This 209-nucleotide long non-coding RNA is filed under the name Elaeis guineensis (African oil palm). Its description in RNAcentral is "long non-coding RNA (EGUI_LNC053741)". The record is from RNAcentral. Lineage: Eukaryota; Viridiplantae; Streptophyta; Magnoliopsida; Arecales; Arecaceae.
UGAGGCGCCCCAAUCAAAUAAGAUAAUCUGAGUGGGUGCCUCAUGUUAUACAAGGUAGGUAGAUGGGGCGCCAACACUUGGCACCCCCUUAGGGUUUCAUUGCUCAAAAGAGGGGGUGUGGCCCCUCUCUUUCUCUCCUUCCAUGCCAAUCCAUAAGAGGGGGCGGGCCCCUCUCAUAUUGUCCAAGGGUUGGCACCCAUAGUCCUGCC